AAAAGAAAGCCGAGAUAGCU
This 20-nucleotide transfer RNA is filed under the name Drummondia sinensis. RNAcentral describes it as "partial tRNA-Phe". Lineage: Eukaryota; Viridiplantae; Streptophyta; Bryopsida; Scouleriales; Drummondiaceae. The record is from RNAcentral.